GCUGGCGGCAUGCCUUACACAUGCAAGUCGAACGGCAGCACGGACUUCGGUCUGGUGGCGAGUGGCGAACGGGUGAGUAAUGCAUCGGAACGUGCCAUUGAGUGGGGGAUAACGUAGCGAAAGUUGCGCUAAUACCGCAUAUUCUGUGAGCAGGAAAGCAGGGGACCGCAAGGCCUUGCGCUCUUUGAGCGGCCGAUGUCAGAUUAGCUAGUUGGUGAGGUAAAGGCUUACCAAGGCGACGAUCUGUAGCGGGUCUGAGAGGAUGAUCCGCCACACUGGAACUGAGACACGGUCCAGACUCCUACGGGAGGCAGCAGUGGGGAAUUUUGGACAAUGGGGGCAACCCUGAUCCAGCCAUGCCGCGUGAGUGAAGAAGGCCUUCGGGUUGUAAAGCUCUUUCGGCCGGGAAGAAAUCGCAUGGGCCAAUACCCUGUGUGGAUGACGGUACCGGAAUAAGAAGCACCGGCUAACUACGUGCCAGCAGCCGCGGUAAUACGUAGGGUGCGAGCGUUAAUCGGAAUUACUGGGCGUAAAGCGUGCGCAGGCGGUUUCGUAAGACAGGCGUGAAAUCCCCGGGCUUAACCUGGGAACUGCGUUUGUGACUGCAAGGCUAGAGUACGGCAGAGGGGGGUGGAAUUCCACGUGUAGCAGUGAAAUGCGUAGAGAUGUGGAGGAACACCAAUGGCGAAGGCAGCCCCCUGGGUCGAUACUGACGCUCAUGCACGAAAGCGUGGGUAGCAAACAGGAUUAGAUACCCUGGUAGUCCACGCCCUAAACUAUGUCAACUAGGUGUUGGGUAGGUAAAACCAUUUAGUACCGUAGCUAACGCGUGAAGUUGACCGCCUGGGGAGUACGGCCGCAAGGUUAAAACUCAAAGGAAUUGACGGGGACCCGCACAAGCGGUGGAUGAUGUGGAUUAAUUCGAUGCAACGCGAAAAACCUUACCUACCCUUGACAUGCCAGGAACUUGCCAGAGAUGGCUUGGUGCCCGAAAGGGAGCCUGGACACAGGUGCUGCAUGGCUGUCGUCAGCUCGUGUCGUGAGAUGUUGGGUUAAGUCCCGCAACGAGCGCAACCCUUGUCGUUAAUUGCCAUCAUUUAGUUGGGCACUUUAACGAGACUGCCGGUGACAAACCGGAGGAAGGUGGGGAUGACGUCAAGUCCUCAUGGCCCUUAUGGGUAGGGCUUCACACGUCAUACAAUGGUC
This 1206-nucleotide ribosomal RNA is filed under the name metagenome. RNAcentral's name for it is "bacterial SSU rRNA". It matches the Rfam family "Bacterial small subunit ribosomal RNA", at positions 35 to 1235 of the family's 1533-position model. The record is from RNAcentral.